This 497-nucleotide ribosomal RNA is filed under the name uncultured bacterium. RNAcentral's name for it is "partial 16S ribosomal RNA". It matches the Rfam family "Bacterial small subunit ribosomal RNA", at positions 28 to 507 of the family's 1533-position model. The record is from RNAcentral.
GAUGAACGCUGGCGGCGUGCCUAAUACAUGCAAGUCGAGCGAACAGAUGAGGAGCUUGCUCCUCUGACGUUAGCGGCGGACGGGUGAGUAACACGUGGAUAACCUACCUAUAAGACUGGGAUAACUUCGGGAAACCGGAGCUAAUACCGGAUAAUAUAUUGAACCGCAUGGUUCAAUAGUGAGAGACGGUUUUGCUGUCACUUAUAGAUGGAUCCGCGCCGCAUUAGCCAGUUGGUAAGGUAACGGCUUACCAAGGCAACGAUGCGUAGCCGACCUGAGAGGGUGAUCGGCCACACUGGAACUGAGACACGGUCCAGACUCCUACGGGAGGCAGCAGUAGGGAAUCUUCCGCAAAGGGCGAAAGCCUGACGGAGCAACGCCGCGUGGGUGAUGAAGGUCUUCGGAUCGUAAAACUCUGUUAUUAGGGAAGAACAAAUGUGUAAGUAACUAUGCACGUCUUGACGGUACCUAAUCAGAAAGCCACGGCUAACUACGUG